UUUAACAAAUAAAAGAAACAUUUAUAAGUGAUAUUUUAUUGAUGACCAAACAAUUUACAAAACUUGGUUGUAAUAUGUUUUGGGAAAGAAAUGGGAACAGCUUGAAAUGUUUUGAAAGAAGAGCCGGCAGUAAAAUUAGGAACGAUGUGUUUAUGACUUAAAUCCAAAUGGUUCGAAUGCCGGCAACCAUAUAUAUAUGUCCAGUACUCUUGUUCCAUCACUUACGGUGUAAUUUGGAUAUUUGUAUUGAACAUACAUUUUGUUUUGGAUAUCCCUGAGAGACUAAUUGCCUGAAUCUUAAAUGGAGUCAAAUAACAUUGCGAUGAUAACACGUCCCAUGUCAACAAUUCUGAAGAAGUACAAGAGAGAACUACAAACCAAACUGAGCAAAUAACUCAUAUGAAAGACCAUGGUAAAUAACGCUUACAACAUUGAGGACAAAAUCUUGACACAGAAAAGCAAUGGAUGAAAGUAAGAAAUUAAUGCUUUCCAAAAGCUCGAGCCUUUCUAUCACUGGAACUAUCCGAAAUCCAUAUGGAGCCCCCAGGCAAGUAGAUAUUUGCUUCUUUAUAGUAAUGAUUCGUAUCAUUGUCACGUAGACUUCCCUACAUAUCAUAACUGCAGUUUUGUUCUGUUGUAGGUGUUCACAAUUCAAUAAAAAUUCGAGCUAAGUAAGUAUUUGAAAAAGCAUCAGAUGUUUACUUUGUUCUUCCAACAAAGUAAGUAAAAAAAUUUGCUUACCAGAUUGCGAACUAAAUCAAAUAGAUAAAUUUGAGUACUGAGGAUGUAAGGUGACCUGACCUGACGUUGGCAAGUUUUUCACUUUAUCAUUAACAAUACCGAACUGCCAAUUAGGAUGAACAAUUGUUCAAAGGUUCAGUGUUAGUACCUACUAGAAGUAUACAUGACUCGCAAUUAUCCAUUAAGAGUCAUGACUCGUGCAAAGGAAAUUGACCCUAAAAUAAUACAUUAAAAAAAAUUCUUCUCUAAAAAAUUAUAUCUGAUUUUCAAGUGGAGUAUGUAUUUUUUCAGCACAGACAUAUUUGAGAAGUUAGACCAUUAUGCCAUAUGUCAUCAUAAGGCACACUAGCAUUAGCAGCUAUUUCAUCAUCAUCAUAAUAUAUGUUCUCCAAAGCCUAUUCUAACAAAUAGUCAUCUCAAACAGCGAAUUGCACCUCAAAAAUUCAAUAAAAAAAAGGUUGGGUUGGGUCAAUUUAAGUUUUCUUCUGCGAAUUUUAAUGACGCCGUGUCACAUAUUUGCUAUGUCGCAUGUCUUGGUCUUCUGUGAUGACAGUUCAAAGAGUUAAACACCUCUUCAUGAUGGAAAGCUUCACCUUAAGCCACUUGCCUAGAUGAAUUUGUAAAGAAGGGUUUUCAUUUCACAGUUUCCUUGAAGCGUUUCAAAAAAAACUUCUACUGUAACCUUACGAUAGGUAACUCUUAAUGUUUAUAACUAAUUUCUUGUCUCAUUGGUCAAUUUUAAAUGCACUCCAUACUUGACUUGUAGAACAAAUUGCUUUCCUACUUGAACUAUAUUUUUCAUCAUUAUAUCUUAAUCUUUUUUUGCAAAGUCGGAAGUAUUAGUUGGUUUACUAUAGAACAGUUCCGGUCUGUUUUCCUCGCAGGACUUUUCAUAAAAUUUUUCGCAGAAACAUGGCGGUUUUGAACAUUCCUAAAUAAAAAGGUAUUUUGCAUUUCCUGAAAAUCAAAAACGAUUUGUAUAAAUUUAUUUAUAAAAUAU
Molecule: long non-coding RNA, 1741 nt
Organism: Onthophagus taurus
Lineage: Eukaryota; Metazoa; Arthropoda; Insecta; Coleoptera; Scarabaeidae
Source: RefSeq, a predicted model, not a curated record